Molecule: ribosomal RNA, 230 nt
Filed under: uncultured bacterium
Lineage: Bacteria
Description: partial 16S ribosomal RNA
Rfam family: Bacterial small subunit ribosomal RNA
Source: RNAcentral
UAAAGCGUGCGCAGGCGGUUAUGUAAGACAGAUGUGAAAUCCCCGGGCUCAACCUGGGAACUGCAUUUGUGACUGCAUGGCUAGAGUACGGUAGAGGGGGAUGGAAUUCCGCGUGUAGCAGUGAAAUGCGUAGAUAUGCGGAGGAACACCGAUGGCGAAGGCAAUCCCCUGGACCUGUACUGACGCUCAUGCACGAAAGCGUGGGGAGCAAACAGGAUUAGAUACCCGAU